Long non-coding RNA from Onychostruthus taczanowskii (white-rumped snowfinch), 738 nucleotides. RefSeq lists it as uncharacterized. The record is from RefSeq and is a predicted model, not a curated record. Lineage: Eukaryota; Metazoa; Chordata; Aves; Passeriformes; Passeridae. The transcript has 3 exons.
AAAUGAAGCCAGGAUGCUAAGACUAAGGCUGAUUAUUCAGAGCAUUUGAUUGAGCUGAAAACAAGAGGACAAGCCAUUUUGCCCCUAUUUGAAUCAGUCAUUUGAAGAGUUUCAAGCUCAGACAAGUUUUGAACUGAAGUAGAAAGUAUUACAGCUGGGCUCUGACUUACCAAGGUGCUUCGAAAAACUGACACGAGAGGGCUGAUGACGAGGGGAGGAAGAAUUUGCAUUUUUGAGGAAACGGCACAAAACUUCUUACUUGGUAUGGCGCUUCACCAGGGAGUAUCGUUCAUUGGCAUAACAUUCCAGAGUUUGAAGCCUUGUCUAAUAUGACCUUCAGGGUGCUUUCCUGACCUACUGCUUUCCAGAAUGCAGAAACACAAUGUUUUUGGUUGUCCUCAAAUGUAUACACUGGUUUUGUUUAUACCAAAACAUUUAGCAAGACCAGCUUGUAAUUUACUUUCUAAAUCUCUUAAAAAACAUAUCACAGUAUUUCUUCAGAUACUCUUGUCCAGUAAAUCACUGUUUGUUCAUUUGUUGUUGAGAUAUGUCAGCUGAAUGGCCCUAAUCUGUUUAAUGUAUGCUGUAUCAAGUGUUUUAUUGCAAUAAUGGGGUUUCACUGAGAAACCGACCAAUGUCUUGCAAACUAUUGAGAUUAAUAAAAACAUUGUAGCUCUUGAAAAAUAUCUCCUACAAUUUAGUUUAAGUUCUGAAUGGAUCACAAUACAACCUGAUAUU